UACGAAGGGGGCUAGCGUUGUUCGGAUUUACUGGGCGUAAAGCGCACGUAGGCGGAUCGUUAAGUCGGGGGUGAAAUCCUGGAGCUCAACUCCAGAACUGCCUUCGAUACUGGCGAUCUUGAGUCCGGAAGAGGUGAGCGGAACUCCUAGUGUAGAGGUGGAAUUCGUAGAUAUUAGGAAGAACACCAGUGGCGAAGGCGGCUCACUGGUCCGGUACUGACGCUGAGGUGCGAAAGCGUGGGGAGCAAACAGG
This 253-nucleotide ribosomal RNA is filed under the name uncultured bacterium. Its description in RNAcentral is "partial 16S ribosomal RNA". It matches the Rfam family "Bacterial small subunit ribosomal RNA", at positions 524 to 776 of the family's 1533-position model. The record is from RNAcentral.